CAGUGCCUAGGUUUUCUGUAGUGAAUUUGGCUAAAAUGGUAGAGCUCCCUGAUUCUAACCUCCCUGCAGGUUUUCCACCACAUCCACUCACCUCUACAUGGCGAAAACCAAGGGUUCACUCUCUGUCUUCAGGGAGCUCCCCUCAGCAGCAGCGUUUGACAGAGCUGUUCACUUCCUCUUCCUGGAGCUGUGGCUUCCAGAGCCCAUGCUCAGCAGUUCCCCUCCUUCUUCCACUGCUCCUCUCUUAGGCUCAGAGCCACUCAGACAUUGGGAAGCAAGUUUGUCAAGAUGACAGAGAACCGAGGUAAUGGAUUCGAGUGAUGAAACAGGAAGUUCAUUCAUGAGUUUUUGGCCACACCUCCAAAGUGACGACUUAGCCAGAAAUGGGAUAACUGGGUUUCCCUACUUCUCUUUUAUCAUCCUCAAUGAGAGUGACCAAAUAUUAGAGCUAGAUGGAACCUUAGUGAAAAUCUGGCUACUCGUCCCGUCCCACCAGCCUGCCACCCAUUUCAAGUUUGAAGAGACAAAGACACAUGGACCUUAUGUAAUUACUGGGGAUUACCCCAGGAGUCUGUGGCAAAAGUCAGCUUCUUCCCUCCCUGCUUCCCCGCCCUGUCUCUGGUGCUUUCUACCAACACUGGGCUGUUUCUGUGAUCAUACUUAAGCGUACCUAACCUGUGAAUGCUGUAUAGAAGGUGCUAAUGAACAUGAUUUAGCUUUAACACUCAGUUUUCUAAAGGGACACGUGGGGGCAGCAAAUGUUUAGGGAAAAACAAUUCCAGUUCUAGCCUCUACUGUCUACAUAUGUGUAUACAUUUUGGAAACGUUUGGAAAAGGGAUAUUUGAGAGCUUC
Molecule: long non-coding RNA, 853 nt
Filed under: Pan troglodytes (chimpanzee)
Lineage: Eukaryota; Metazoa; Chordata; Mammalia; Primates; Hominidae
Description: lincRNA
Source: RNAcentral